CAGUCUCAGCCAUGGUUGCAUACCUUCCAAGCUCCACCGCCUCUUCUUCCUCGUGGGCAGAUCCCUGAUUUUGUGUAGGACAGCACUUGAAAUGUAUUUGUGUGCUCAACAUUGGUUUCCUCUCUGGAACCUGGGAUCACUUCAGGGGUGGACACGUGGCCCAACCAUGACUGAUGAGACAUGCGGGGAAAUCUGCAGAGGCAACUUCUAGGAAAGGUUGGGCUCUUGCAGCCACCCUGUGACUAUGAGGACUAUGAAGGGCUGAAGAUUUACUCUACUUGAGAACGAACCAGGUUUUUGUAAGCUCCAGACAUUGGAUAAAGCAUUUUGAGGGAUAGGUGAAAACGAAAUCCUGCCCUUUACUCUUGAGAACUCACUCUGCUGUGGGAGGAGAGACAGGCAGACCUCAGUCUACUGACAGCAUGAACAGAAAGAGAGGGUCUCUUUCUGCUGGUGCUUCGGUUUGAGAACCAGUGCUCCUGACUUUGGUUGGCCAUUGGUGUCUGUCUGAAGAGGGUCUCCACUGCCCCCAGGCAUGUUCCUUCUCUCACUGCUGCCCCCUGGGAUGGAAACUCGACAUCCCCUCUUUCCCUUCCUACUGGCACCAACGGUACCAGAGCAAACCCCACAAUCUCCAUGCCUACAUUUCUUUGACAUCCACCUGUCACCAUCUUUGGAGGAUUCAAGUGAAGUUCUUUGUCUUUUAUGGGACAGAGAUGAUUCUCCACUCCAGAGGGUCUGGAGUGAUUAUAGGAAUGUAAUCGCCUUGAACAAUCAGCGUGUUUUACAGCCUACUGCCCUGCAUUUUGUGUGGAAUGCAGUUGUCUUAUUGCUUGGAACCAGCUCUCAGUAGACCUCAGCAGCUUAUAGACAAACCCGAGUGAACUUUCCUCAUGACCAUGCUAGUGUCUCCAUCCUGGGAUGAGCCACAGCUUCAUCACCAUAACAUGCAACCUAUGUGCUGGUGUGAUGACUCGCUGUGUCUGCACCACUGAGGCUCCUCCUCCACAUGCCAUGACGCGUCCUCUCUUCUCUCCAUCUCCCCAUGAAGUCCUCCUGUCACUUUCCCUCAGGGAGACAUGGCUUUGGAGAGUACUCCCAACAGCAUGCUUAUUUGUGCCAAGUAAUAAAACUCCUGUUGAUCAAA
This 1147-nucleotide long non-coding RNA is filed under the name Homo sapiens (human). RNAcentral's name for it is "HSALNT0400116". The record is from RNAcentral. Lineage: Eukaryota; Metazoa; Chordata; Mammalia; Primates; Hominidae.